Molecule: ribosomal RNA, 879 nt
Filed under: uncultured bacterium
Lineage: Bacteria
Description: bacterial SSU rRNA
Rfam family: Bacterial small subunit ribosomal RNA
Source: RNAcentral
GCUUGCGGCGCGCUUAACACAUGCAAGUCGAACGAGAAAGGUUCCUUCGGGAGCCGAGUAAAGUGGCGCACGGGUGAGUAACGCGUAGGUAAUCUACCCCUGUAUCUGGGACAACAUCGGGAAACUGGUGCUAAUACSGGAUACGCCUGAUUUGGCGCGAGUCAUAUCAGGGAAAGGUGACCUCUCCUUGGAAGUUACCGUACAGGGAUGAGCCUGCGUACCAUUAGCUAGUUGGUGGGGUAAAGGCUUACCAAGGCAACGAUGGUUAGCGGGUCUGAGAGGAUGAUCCGCCACACUGGAACUGGAACACGGUCCAGACUCCUACGGGAGGCAGCAGUGAGGAAUAUUGCGCAAUGGGGGCAACCCUGACGCAGCGACGUCGCGUGGGUGAAGAAGGUUUUCGGAUCGUAAAACCCUGUCAGGUGGGAAGAAAUGCCAGUUGGUUAAUACCCAGUUGGUUUGACGGUACCACCAGAGGAAGCACCGGCUAACUCCGUGCCAGCAGCCGCGGUAAUACGGAGGGUGCGAGCGUUGUUCGGAAUUACUGGGCGUAAAGGGCGCGUAGGCGGUGUAUCAAGUCAGAUGUGAAAGCCCGCGGCUUAACCGUGGAAGUGCAUCUGAAACUGGUACGCUAGAGUAUGGUAGGGGAAAGUGGAAUUCCUGGUGUAGAGGUGAAAUUCGUAGAUAUCAGGAGGAACACCUGAGGCGAAGGCGACUUUCUGGACCAAUACUGACGCUGAGGCGCGAAAGCGUGGGGAGCAAACAGGAUUAGAUACCCUGGUAGUCCACAGCUGUAAACGAUGUGCACUAGGUGUAGGGGGCGUUGACCCUUCUGUGCCGGAGCUAACGCAUUAAGUGCACCGCCUGGGGAGUACGGUC